ACGGAAGGCAGCAGUGGGGAAUAUUGCACAAUGGGGGAAACCCUGAUGCAGCGACGCCGCGUGAGUGAGGAAGUUAUUCGUAAUGUAAAGCUCUAUCAGCAGGGAAGAAAAUGACGGUACCUGACCAAGAAGCCCCGGCUAACUACGUGCCAGCAGCCGCGGUAAUACGUAGGGGGCAAGCGUUAUCCGGAUUUACUGGGUGUAAAGGGAGCGUAGACGGCUUUGCAAGUCUGAUGUGAAAGGCGGGGGCUCAACCCCUGGACUGCAUUGGAAACUGCGGGGCUCGAGUGCCGGAGGGGUAAGCGGAAUUCCUAGUGUAGCGGUGAAAUGCGUAGAUAUUAGGAGGAACACCAGUGGCGAAGGCGGCUUACUGGACGGUAACUGACGUUGAGGCUCGAAAGCGUGGGGAGCAAACAGGAUUAGAUACCCUGGUA
RNAcentral lists this ribosomal RNA (434 nucleotides) under uncultured Lachnospiraceae bacterium. RNAcentral's name for it is "bacterial SSU rRNA". It matches the Rfam family "Bacterial small subunit ribosomal RNA", at positions 341 to 792 of the family's 1533-position model. The record is from RNAcentral. Lineage: Bacteria; Bacillati; Bacillota; Clostridia; Lachnospirales; Lachnospiraceae.